AUUGAACGCUGGCGGCAUGCCUUACACAUGCAAGUCGAACGGUAACAGGUCUUCGGAUGCUGACGAGUGGCGAACGGGUGAGUAAUACAUCGGAACGUGCCUAGUAGUGGGGGAUAACUACUCGAAAGAGUGGCUAAUACCGCAUGAGAUCUACGGAUGAAAGCAGGGGAUCGCAAGACCUUGUGCUACUAGAGCGGCCGAUGGCAGAUGAGGUAAUUGGUGGGAUAAAAGCUUACCAAGCCGACGAUCUGUAGCUGGUCUGAGAGGACGAUCAGCCACACUGGGACUGAGACACGGCCCAGACUCCUACGGGAGGCAGCAGUGGGGAAUUUUGGACAAUGGGCGCAAGCCUGAUCCAGCAAUGCCGCGUGCAGGAUGAAGGCCUUCGGGUUGUAAACUGCUUUUGUACGGAACGAAAAGCCCUGGGUUAAUACCCUGGGGUCAUGACGGUACCGUAAGAAUAAGCACCGGCUAACUACGUGCCAGCCGCCGCCGUAA
This 498-nucleotide ribosomal RNA is filed under the name uncultured bacterium. RNAcentral's name for it is "partial 16S ribosomal RNA". It matches the Rfam family "Bacterial small subunit ribosomal RNA", at positions 30 to 523 of the family's 1533-position model. The record is from RNAcentral.